This is a non-coding RNA of Phrynosoma platyrhinos (Desert horned lizard), 72 nucleotides long. NCBI's taxonomy places the organism in Eukaryota, Metazoa, Chordata, Lepidosauria, Squamata, Phrynosomatidae. The record is from the annotation of a GenBank genome assembly.
GCCAGAGUGGUGUAGUGGUUUGAGUGCUGGACCAUAACUCUGGAGGCCAGAGUUUGAUUCCCUGCUUGGCCA